AAGGGGCAGAGGGAUUAGGAGAGGGAGGCUAGGAAGAUGAAACAGGUUUGAAAAGGCAACUGAAACCAGCUUACGUUUUUCAAAACUAUUGGGAAUUUUUUAUAGAGUAAAUGAAGGGAUUUCACUCUUCUGAAAUUCGUUACUUACAACUUUAAAAAGGGACACAGGUAAUUUUCACCUAUGAUCUCUGCUAUCUCUGCUGUGGUUGAUUUCAAAUACUGCGCACGUAUACCUUAAUCAGGUAUCUGUCCCUAAAAAGUGUUAGGAGAGGAAUUAAAUGUUAAAUUGAAAGGAAACUGAAGGAAAAUAGAAGAUCAAAGAAGACUUAAUCCUAAUAACACAGGGACAGUAAAUUGCAGACAGAUGGUGGACUUUGAGAAAGUACCCCCAAAAAGAGUUUAAGCAAGGCAAAUUUAAACUGAAAACUCAGAAAAAUACCAAGAUGGAGAUUUUAAAGAGAAUCGAGAAAAUUAAAAAAACUGAACAGGAAAAGCCAAGAGAAAUUGAAGAUAAAUGAAGGAAUGUGAAGGGGUGGGGGAAAUCAAGCUUUAUUUACCCUUCAAACUAAUGAGUCUUUGGAUGAAAAGAAGGAGCACAUGAAUCUGAAGUCUGCUUAAAGAAGAGGGAAAAUGAGUAGGAAAAAUAGAAGGCUUUUCUUUUAAAAGGCAACUAGAGAAGUUAUUUCAUGAAGGAAAAGUUUGGGGUUUUUGUUGCUGAAGCUAGAAAUGUGCAUGUCGAGAGAAAAAAAGCAAAGAAGACAAGGAGAGGACAAAGCCAUUCCUUCUAAUUUCAUGUUGGCUCACGUUGCCUUGGAAGAAAAGAAAGACAGGUAAGUUAAAAACUUGCUGAAAAGGCAAAUAAAGCAUUUUGAGGAUGAACCUGUUGAUGGCGACUGGAGAGUGGCUGCUCAGGGACAUGGCAAGUCUAGGAUCCUGUGGGAAAGUGCUUUCUCCAAAGGAAGUUACUGAGAAAGGUUAGAGUGCUGGAUUAGGACCUGGGAGACUCGAGUUCAAAUCCUCACUCUGCCAUGAAGCGCUCUAUCUCUCAGCCUUACCUACCUCACAGGGUUGUUGUGAGGAUCCAAUGAGGAAGCAGACUAGAACAUCAGCUCCACUAAGCCUUUCCAGCAGAUACAUCAAGGAGAACCCUGCAGUAGAUGUUUGAGGGGCACCUGCAUUUUGACUGUCCUGCAUUAGGUAAUCUGCUCUUUUUCCCCACUACUCGGUGAUCUUUUUCCGUGCAAUGCUUUGUACUGGUCUCUCCUUUUUAAUCUCUUCACGUGCUUCAUGAAAAAAUGGCAGUCAAAAUGGCACUCUGUGACUGAACCACAUCUAGGUGAGUAUCCCUUGCUUGACUAGGGAGGAAAUAUCUAGUCAAAAUGGAACUCUGUGAUUCCUCAUUCGUUUUAAGGUUGUGUCAAGACGAUUUGCGACCUGUUACAAUAAAGGAUUCUUCUGUAUCUUCCCAUCUUAAAUGGAGCCUUCAGCUCUGGAAUAUGUCUCCAAUGUGUCUUGCAAGUGGAGGAUUCCAGUGGAGGCAGAACGAAUGCUUGUAGGUUAUAGAGCGGUACUGAAAGGACUGGCCUUUCCAGCAACAACGGGAAACGGACGUCAAAAGGUAACUAUGCAACAGGGCAGGCAAACCUAUCACUUCUCACUUUGAAGCGACCAUCGCAGCUGAAGGAAGGUAACUACCUAGUACUCUUGAAUAUUCAGAGGUGAUGACAGGCUCAAAUACCUCUCAAGUAAACCCUAAACGCUACAUCACAAUGAUAGCAGCAAUAUACUUGUAUACAUUAUGCCUGAAGGACAUCUACGUGAGUAUCUUUUGCUUAGCUGGGAAGAAAAUUUAUAUUGCGUUCUUCUGCAACUCUUUGUGCAAAGACUGUUUCAGCUCACAGGAGAAGGACAAUCCCACCGCCAUGAACUCACUGGAGAAAAGGUAAGUUAUUGAUGUAAUAAUACAUAAAAUAUACAAGUUCCUAAGGAGCUUGCACUUGGCAACAUUGGUCAUUCAGUCAUUCUUUUCAGAUGAGCUGGGAACUGAAGACGCCAGGUGGCCGCCAUUCCUGUUUCCAAGGGAACUUCUACUGUCGAGAUGUCACUGCAGAGAAGACCUUUUCCUGUGUCGGUCCACAGUGAGGUACACUUGCGGGUGGGACAACACUCUUUCUUUUGUUCCAGAUCUUCUGAUUUACAGACGUCGCAGAGUUCACUGUGUCUGAGGCAGAACUGUUCUGUUAACUCCUAAGAUGCAAAGUGAGUAAGAGCUCUUGAUACAUCAAGUAAAAACCUGCAGCAGUGUAUUAUUGAGAGAAACAUGCAUUUUGAUUGCGCGGCUUUAGGUAACCUGCUGUUUUUGUUCCUCUGUUUCUGUAGGAGAGAGAAAAGGGGCUGGAGACCCCAGUCUCUUCCAGGUGCAUCUCAUUGACACCCUCUCUUUAUAGUUGUGUCUGAAGAGCCCACAACACUCAGAUGAAGCGGACUUCCGGGGUGGCGCCAUCGGCAACGGCGGACUCCCUCUGAUCUGGAGGGACUAGCUCCACGCGAAACGGGUCUUUUCCGCUACGGCGAAGCGGGGACCCUUUCAAAAAUCACAGGCAGAUGAAGCCUGUGACCAUGGGACUCGGCGGGCACCUUUAGCGCCCCCCCAACCCACAAAAGAACCCACUAACGGGCUCCGGAGCGAAGAGGGGGAAGUGGUGCGGUGCUGAGAGUCAACUGCUUCUUCCGUGGAGUGAAGCCGCACAGCCGUUGCCGGAGAGCGCUGCCUUUUUCCUGGGACAAUUUGGCUCCUAAAAUAAUCACCCGUGAGUACUUAAAUUUCGGACAAUUGGACUUUAAAUAAGGACUUGCGAGCAGAAAGGAAAAUUGGACUUAAAAGUUUACCUCAAUUUGGCACUGAAACGGGAAGGUCUAAACAGGAAGUCAGCCUUCCGUUUCUUUGUAGAUAGAUUAAAGCAAAGACAUGGCAAACUAGAGCUCAGAAAAUUGCUUGUAAAAGAUUAACUUUCAUCAUUUAAAAUUGUUGAACCCCCCUUCGGAAGCAGGAGAAGAGGGGGAUUGUUUCGGACUGUUUAAACCUGCAGAAGUGAGUGUAAAGUAAAGUAACUUUCCACCGUCCUGAUCCUGGAGCGGGGUGUCAGGACUGACGUUUUUUGAAGCUCAUUGACCAGAGACAAACGUUUUUGACAGAUAGCUAUAAGAAGAGAAAUAUUGAUUCCAUUGUUCCCCUUCGCAUUUUAAAGGAACAAAUAUUUACAAAAUAUCUGAAAAAGGAAACUUUGUUGUUAGACUUGUCUUUAAAAGAAAGAACAAAUAGAAGUUUUCCCCCUAGAGGGAGACUGUGAAACUGUAACCAACUCCGGGAGCUUGCAGCUGUUACAGAUUACAAUCGUGGGAAUAGACAUCUGACCUUGCAGGACAAUGUAUUCAGAAGCUCUGUUGCGUGCUUUCUGUAAAACAAAUGCCCUACUGGAACAGCUACAUGAGAAGACGGACUUGAUGACUGAUGCGAUCAGAAAUUUUGAACAGGCAGUGGGAUAUUAUAUGGAGCCCACCCAGGAAUUAAAUCAGGAGUGUGCCCUGACAGAACAGAUGAGGGAAGAGGAUGUUGCUGAAUCUUGGGCGCCAGAGAUGAAGGGAGCUGUGGCCCAGCAGGAACAUGAGCUUUUGGACUUGACAAAUGAACUUGGAAAAAGCCAGAUUUGGAAAGAUAAAGUUUGGUUUGGUUUGGAAAUGGGGGGUUGGAUAGACCCCCCUAUGCAGGGAUGUUUGGACCUUUCAAGUCUGGCAAUGGGCCGUGAGAUGUUUGGGGUUGUGGGGGCUCUUAAUUUUGGAGGGAUUUUGAAACAUUUUCUUAAAUACCGCAUGGAGUUUAGUGUGGACUAUGGAAAAGGGGCUGAUUUGUCGAGAAGGGUCAAAAACAUUGUUAAGCUGGAGUUCCCACGAGUGAAAGGAGCAGGAGACAAAGGAAAAUACAGUUAUAAAUAUGAAGAAGAGCUGCGGAAGGGACAUGGAAGAGACUUAAGGGCCUCGGAUACAAGGUUACCAGGUUAAUGCGCUAGAUCGAUGGGAUAAUAAGGACUGACAAAACCCGGGACCAGGAGGAAGGGACGCUGGAUGAAGAUUGGAUUGUUUUCAUUUCUUUUUUUUACUACUAGGAUUGUUUUAUAAAAUUGAUGAAUGUUAGAAGAAUGUUGGAACGAAAUUACUUGGCUUUAGCAAAAAUGUUUAAAGAAUUAUGUAAGAAUAUUAUGGUUAUGAGAAGUUGGUAAAAAUAAGAUUUAAGUUUUAAACUUUAAGGUGCUUUAUAGUAAGAUAAGAUUAAAAUAGAUUAAGGUAAUGUAAGGACAGAAUAUUAUGAAAUAUGGAAAGGAUUUGCUGCGACAAUUAACAACUAGGAUACAAAAAAAGGGAGGAGGAGGAGGUCAAAGAAAGAAGGUAAUGACAGUUGAGGAUUUGAGAAUGAUGGAUUUGUUUUUGAGUGUUUGUGGUAUUUUUGUUUUUUGAAUUUGUAUUGUUUGAUGUGGUUUGUUUUUUCUUUGUUUUUUCUUUCUCUUUUUCUGCUUUGUUCUCUUUUGUAAUUCUAAAAAUUUUCAAUAAAUAUCAUUUAAAAAAAACAACACUCAGAUGAAGCCACCUCUUCCUGCAGAGUCACAGAAGUCAUGUGGACGUAUUUUAC
Non-coding RNA from Podarcis lilfordi (Lilford's wall lizard), 4683 nucleotides. The record is from the annotation of a GenBank genome assembly. Lineage: Eukaryota; Metazoa; Chordata; Lepidosauria; Squamata; Lacertidae.